GGUAGUCCACCCCGUAAACGUUGGGAACUAGUUGUGGGGACCAUUCCACGGUUUCCGUGACGCAGCUAACGCAUUAAGUUCCCCGCCUGGGGAGUACGGCCGCAAGGCUAAAACUCAAAGGAAUUGACGGGGACCCGCACAAGCGGCGGAGCAUGCGGAUUAAUUCGAUGCAACGCGAAGAACCUUACCAAGGCUUGACAUACACCAGAACGGGCCAGAAAUGGUCAACUCUUUGGACACUGGUGAACAGGUGGUGCAUGGUUGUCGUCAGCUCGUGUCGUGAGAUGUUGGGUUAAGUCCCGCAACGAGCGCAACCCUCGUUCUAUGUUGCCAGCACGUAAUGGUGGGAACUCAUGGGAUACUGCCGGGGUCAACUCGGAGGAAGGUGGGGAUGACGUCAAAUCAUCAUGCCCCUUAUGUCUUGGGCUUCACGCAUGCUACAAUGGCCGGUACAAAGGGCUGCAAUACCGUGAGGUGGAGCGAAUCCCAAAAAGCCGGUCCCAGUUCGGAUUGAGGUCUGCAACUCGACCUCAUGAAGUCGGAGUCGCUAAUAAUCGCAGAUCAGCAACGCUGCGGUGAAUACGUUCCCGGGUCUUGUACACACCGCCCGUCAAGUCAUGAAAGUCGGUAACACCUGAAGCCGGUGGCCCAACCCUUGUGGAGGGAGCCGUCGAAGGUGGGAUCGGUAAUUAGGACUAAGUCGUAACAAGGUAGCCGUACCGGAAGGUGC
This 730-nucleotide ribosomal RNA is filed under the name uncultured bacterium. RNAcentral describes it as "bacterial SSU rRNA". It matches the Rfam family "Bacterial small subunit ribosomal RNA", at positions 789 to 1515 of the family's 1533-position model. The record is from RNAcentral.